This 75-nucleotide transfer RNA is filed under the name Cephaloticoccus sp. RNAcentral describes it as "tRNA-Glu". It matches the Rfam family "tRNA". Rfam says of the family: Transfer RNA (tRNA) molecules are approximately 80 nucleotides in length. Their secondary structure includes four short double-helical elements and three loops (D, anti-codon, and T loops). The record is from RNAcentral. RNAcentral also lists the same sequence under 2 other names. Lineage: Bacteria; Pseudomonadati; Verrucomicrobiota; Opitutia; Opitutales; Opitutaceae.
GCCCUCAUCGUCUAGCGGUUAGGACGGAUCCCUCUCACGGAUCAAACCGGGGUUCGAUUCCCCGUGAGGGUACCA